UCUCAGCUGCUGUUGCUGCUGCUGCUGUUUUUGAAAGAAAAGCCCUAAAAAAAAACUCUACCUGACCCCUACUUCUACUGACGCUAAAAUAUAUUUAACCACAUGACCUUUAGAGAAUCAGCAGGAGUACUUCCUGGCUUCUUUAAACCAGUUUUUCCUCUUGGGUUUCUGCUAUAUGUUUAUUUUAAAUGACUUCUGUUACUUUAUAGAAGAUAAGAUGUGAGGAUACACAAUGUCAAAGUUUCCAAGGUGCGUUUAAAAAAAGAAAAAAGAAAACCCCUCCCCAAAAAAGUACAGAGUGGACACUGGAAGGUACAUUUUUAAUGUACAUUUUCAUUUUUAAUCAUUUGCGGUCUUAUGAGUUCACAUUUAAUUGAAGAAUCCUUUUGGCUAAUCCUCUUUAGGCAUUGCUGGUGUUUUCUUUUUAGCUGCUGCAGCUCUUUAUUAAUCAGCAAAGACCAAUCUAAUUGACCUUUUACCCUCAGAGAAAGGAUUUACUGAGAUUUUGGAUAACAGCCUUUAAAUGGGGUUUUAACCUCACAAUAAACCAUCAGAAACUCUGAUAUUCUGAUCCUGUCAUUUCACUGAUUUCACUGAAUUAUAACAUUUAAUUUUUUUAAGGAGACACAUCCACUGAGCUAAAACCUGUGUGUGUGUGUGUGUGUGUGUGUGUGUGUGUGUCCUCAUUGUUCUUCUAAUGUGUGUCUGCAGCACCAGUCAGUGCCAGACAAUGCUUACAUGAUGAUGUCAUGCUACAAUUCCUGUAGAUUGCAUCAUUUCCUGUUUGGUGCCUAAUGGAUGGUGCCUUCUUCCAUUCAAUCAAGCAUGCAGAUGUACAUGAAAACACACACACACACACACACACACACACACACACACACACACACACACAGUCUGGUAUUAGCCGUCUUCUGAAGAUGUUUUUGUUUAUUUCUGGCUAACCACCAACCUUGUUAUAAUAAUUCUAGCUUAAAAACCUAAAAUAGAUCAUCACUGGCUGGGACGUGAAUCCUGUUAUGUGAACAGAUUUUUGUCCCCAGUAUGCAACCAGCAGCACACACAUUAGUUAAUUGACAGACACAGAAAUACACGUGCUUUGUAAUUAAUCCAUAGAUCCUAUAGCUUUAGUAAUCCAUAUGAAGAGGAUUGCAGGGGGUGGAGGAGGAUGGGGGAAGGGCUGGGUCCAUUAUUUUGUGUUUCUCCCGCACACAUGUCACAUCUGCUCAGUGCAGCUGUGUGUGGCAGUGACACCACCAACAGAGAGAGAGCUGGCCAGCUCUUUGCCAUCUCCUCCUCCUCCUUUCCUUUUGUUUCUGUGGGCUCUCCCACUGUAAUGUGGGGCUCUUACAGAUUGUUUAUAGCAGGGUUUUUUUGGUCCACGUGGAGCUUCAGUCAUAUUUCUGUCAGCUGCAAGGAAACGAGGCCAAAGCUGCAUAAAGACAGUACAGUGCAUUUCCACCCCCAGAAGUACGUGUGCACAAAUAAAUCAUCUUUCCUCAGCAGUUGGUGGCAUCGGCCUGCUCUCCUCACUCCAGUUUGGUGUUGCCUUUAAUUUCCACAUUCCUCAGAGGUUUCUGUGGGAUUGCACUCACUAAAAACAAUGCUCAGCAGCUCCUGUUGCUGCUGAGCAUCUUUAAAGCUUCUUAUGAUGCCGUCGGGCCAGAGUGGAAAAUCUGUUAAAAGGUUUUCCAUGCACAUGUCUUUUUAAGGCAAAGAUCAAACAGUCGUAUGUAUCUAAACAAGCAAGGAAAAGGAAAGGAGGAGAGCCGUUUGUGUGCGGAGCGGUCGCUUUUUUUGUCCGUGGUCUUUGAAUAUUUGCUUGUCACGGAUUAGUUAGUUUUCUUUGCUGAACAUUUUUAUUCCUAACUUGAGGCACUGAGGAGCAGAUAGGCUAAUGCAGUUUGCAGGACUCAGAGGUGUACCCUGCCAGCUCACUAAUAAAGCGUGGAAGGUUACUGCAAGGUUGGGCUGACGGUGUUGUUGUGCACAUUAGUUCUGCCUUUUUUUUUCCACUGUUCUCAACUCAGCGUUCCUAAUCAGCACAUAAAGGCGCUGCUUUCUUCAUAAGCUACAAGCUGCAUCACUGUUUGUAAAUGAGGUCUUCCUGUCUGGUCUAAUGCACUUUUUGUGCAUCCCGGAAACGAGUUGCAUUUGUCCUUCCACAUAUCUUUGCAACGUUCAAGGUUGAAUCGACUAAACAAAAGCCUUGAACGCUCAGUCAGGCUGCAGGAGAUAAGACUGACCUACAAAGUGUUGCACACGCUGGAUGUUGCAAUGUGCUGAGUGCCUCAUUUUCACUGUCAGGAAUAAUUCUUAGAGUUACGCUUAUUCUGCGCUCCCCACUGCUAAAUGAAUUUCACGGAGUUUCAAGGCUCAUGGAAGCUGUGAAUGAGGGUGAUAACUAGAAAAUAAGAUGCUCUCGAAGUCACUCACAUUUGGGUGCAAUCACUGAGUGUGCCUUUCUGGAGCUCCCCUUUCCUUUUUCACACCUACCUUCCUUCCUUCCUUCCUUAACUCCCCCCCACCCCCACACCCCCCCAUCUGUCUUUCUCUCUUCAUGCCAGCUGCAUGGGUGGGUGUGUUACAGUAUGCUGACUGCAGAGGGAAGGAGAAAGGGUGUAACAGAGAGAGCAAGAGGAGAAGAAAGGCUAGGGAUAACCAAGCCACAUGCACAUGAUGAAAAAGGCUGAAUGUGGAGAUUUUCCUGCUGCAGUCAGGCUGCUGUGGAUGACCGUCGAGAUGACUGACAGGACAGACACAACCAGCAGUCUGCCCCUCUGCACACACAAGCACCCACUUAUAUGCAGAAAUAUAGUCCAAAAAUCACUCAACGACUGAAUACUUCAGUCUGACACGUUAUCUUAUCAUAUCAGAAAUGCUUUAUUUUAUCCAUCUAAAAAUAUCCUGCAUAUCACACUGUGAGCAUCUUUUAACAUCACUGCCACUAUUCGCCACUGUUGCUCCUGCCUGAUAUACAAAAAAAAAGGCAUUAAUGGCUUGAUUAUUUGAUCAGAUGUGUUUUAUUGUCCAGAAAAGCUGCUGAGUUUCUGGUGCCUCUAAUCUGCUUGCUUUUCUUUUAUGGCUCAAGUGAAAUGGACUCAGCUCCUAAUGUGAGACAUAAAAGCCAGACGAAGCAUAAGGGAGACACAGAUACAACAGUAAGAUGCACAUCUUCACCCGCUAUACAAGGGGGAAAAAAAAGAACUAAUAAUAUAACAUAAGGGAACUUUAUAUGAUAUGAUUUUAAGCUGUGGCUUUAGGUUGAAAUGAUUCUCUUGAACAAAGGACGACGGGAUGUUUAUCUUCAUCGGAUGUUUUAUUAAAUGCGGCACAGCUCAAAGGGAUUGAAUUUUUAUUUAAGUAUAUUCUGACUUCACUGAGAGUGGCUCCACAGUGUAGUGGUUUACACGUUUGUUUAAGAAGCAAAAGAUCCCCGGAGGAGGCACGAAACACUUUUGGGGCUGGAUUUGCCAAAUCAAGCUCGUAGAGACUUAGGAGGUAAAAAAUGGAAAAAAUAUACAUCAGAAAAUCAGUCAAAAGCAGCUUUUUCCACCCUGCUGAUUUCACUCCUGUAUCCCAAAAAUAA
Molecule: long non-coding RNA, 3586 nt
Organism: Oreochromis niloticus (Nile tilapia)
Lineage: Eukaryota; Metazoa; Chordata; Actinopteri; Cichliformes; Cichlidae
Exons: 2
Source: RefSeq, a predicted model, not a curated record